RNAcentral lists this ribosomal RNA (811 nucleotides) under uncultured archaeon. RNAcentral's name for it is "bacterial SSU rRNA". It matches the Rfam family "Archaeal small subunit ribosomal RNA", at positions 37 to 855 of the family's 1478-position model. The record is from RNAcentral.
GGUUUGACUAAGCCAUGCGAGUCGAGAGGUGUUAAGACCUCGGCGUACUGCUCAGUAACACGUGGAUAAUCUGCCCUCAGGAGAGGAAUAAUCCCGGGAAACUGGGGCUAAUGCCUCAUAGGAGACGGGUGCUGGAAUGCUCUGUCUCCCAAAGGUCCGCCGCCUGAGGAUGAGUCUGCGGCCGAUUAGGUUGUUGUUGGGGUAACGGCCCAACAAGCCCGUGAUCGGUACGGGUUGUGGGAGCAAGAGCCCGGAGAUGGACUCUGAGACAUGAAUCCAGGCCCUACGGGGCGCAGCAGGCGCGAAAACUUUACAAUGCGAGCAAUCGUGAUAAGGAAACCCUGAGUGCCUGUCAAUGCAGGCUGUUCUGGUGUUUAGCACGCACCAGGAGAAAGGGCGGGGCAAGACCGGUGCCAGCCGCCGCGGUAAUACCGGCUGCUCGAGUGAUAGCCGCUUUUACUGGGCUUAAAGCGUUCGUAGCUUGGUCGUUAAGUCUCUGGGGAAAUCUUCUGGCUUAACCAGAAGGCGUCUCAGUGAAACUAGCGACCUAGGAACCGGGAGAGGUGAGACGUACUUCGGGGGUAGGAGUGAAAUCUUGUAAUCCUCGAGGGACGACCGAUGGCGAAGGCAUCUCACCAGAACGGCUUCGACAGUGAGGGACGAAAGCUGGGGGAGCAAACCGGAUUAGAUACCCGGGUAGUCCCAGCCGUAAACGAUGUGCGUUAGGUGUGUCGGUGACCACGAGUCGCCGAGGUGCCGAAGGGAAACCGUGAAACGCACCGCCUGGGAAGUACGGUCGCAAGGCUGAAAC